Molecule: ribosomal RNA, 492 nt
Filed under: Micrura sp. IceAGE
Lineage: Eukaryota; Metazoa; Nemertea; Pilidiophora; Heteronemertea; Lineidae
Description: partial large subunit ribosomal RNA
Rfam family: Bacterial large subunit ribosomal RNA
Source: RNAcentral
AGCUUGUUGAAUUUUUAUAACAGGUUUUUUCUGCCCGGUGUUAAUUAAACGGCCGCGGUAUUUUGACCGUGCAAAGGUAGCAUAAUCAUUUGUCCUUUAAUUGGGGACUAGAAUGAAAGAAAGUUUGAAGCUUUAGCUGUCUCUUUUUUGUUGUUAUAAUUUGCUGUUUUUGUGAAGAAGCAAAAGUAUCUAAAAAAGACAAGAAGACCCUAUUAAGCUUUAUCUUUUUGUUUUUUUUUAUUUUUAUAAAAACAAAAAGAUUUGGUUGGGGUGACUAAAGAAGAUAUUAAUCUUCUUUUUUUGUUUAUAACAAUAUGUUUAAUAUUGACCCAAAACUUUUUGGUUGUAAAAAUUAGUUACUAUAGGGAUAACAGCGUAAUCUUUUCACAGAGUUCUUAUUGAAGAAAAGGAUUGCGACCUCGAUGUUGACUUAUUUUAUCCUAUGAAGGUGUAGCAGCUGUAAGGGUUGGUCUGUUCGACCAUUAAAGAAAU